CCUACGGGAGGCUGCAGUGGGGAAUAUUGCACAAUGGGGGAAACCCUGAUGCAGCGACGCCGCGUGGGUGACGAAGUAUUUCGGUAUGUAAAGCCCUAUCAGCAGGGAAGAAGAUGACAGUACGUGACUAAGAAGCCCCGGCUAACGACGUGCCAGCAGCCGCGGUAAAACGUAGGGGGCAAGCGUUCUCCGGAUUUACUGGGUGUAAAGGGAGCGUAGGUGGCCUGGCAAGCAAGUAGUGAAAACCCGGGGCUUAACCCCGCGGAUUGCUGUUGAAACGGUCAGGCUGGAGUGCAGGAGGGGCCGGCGGACUUCCUGUUGUCGCGGUGCACUGCGUAGAUGUCAGGAGGAACACCGGUGGCGCAGGCGGCCUGCUGGACUGUAACUGCCCCUGCGGCUCG
Molecule: ribosomal RNA, 401 nt
Filed under: uncultured bacterium
Lineage: Bacteria
Description: partial 16S ribosomal RNA
Rfam family: Bacterial small subunit ribosomal RNA
Source: RNAcentral